Molecule: non-coding RNA, 86 nt
Organism: Trichocladium antarcticum
Lineage: Eukaryota; Fungi; Ascomycota; Sordariomycetes; Sordariales; Chaetomiaceae
Source: the annotation of a GenBank genome assembly
GCCCGCAUGGCUAAGUGGUAUAGCGUGACACUCGUAUUUCUACUGGGUCAAUGUCAAGGUCAUCAGUUCGAUUCUGAUUGUGGGCA